RNAcentral lists this ribosomal RNA (619 nucleotides) under uncultured bacterium. RNAcentral's name for it is "bacterial SSU rRNA". The stretch from base 1 to 535 matches the Rfam family "Bacterial small subunit ribosomal RNA", at positions 338 to 873 of the family's 1533-position model. The record is from RNAcentral.
CCUACGGGAGGCAGCAGUAAGGAAUAUUGGUCAAUGGAGGCAACUCUGAACCAGCCAUGCCGCGUGCAGGAAGACUGCCCUAUGGGUUGUAAACUGCUUUUAUCCGGGAAUAAACCUGCUUACGUGUAAGUAGCUGAAUGUACCGGAAGAAUAAGGAUCGGCUAACUCCGUGCCAGCAGCCGCGGUAAUACGGAGGAUCCAAGCGUUAUCCGGAUUUAUUGGGUUUAAAGGGUGCGUAGGCGGCCUGUUAAGUCAGGGGUGAAAGACGGUAGCUCAACUAUCGCAGUGCCCUUGAUACUGAUGGGCUUGAAUGGACUAGAGGUAGGCGGAAUGAGACAAGUAGCGGUGAAAUGCAUAGAUAUGUCUCAGAACACCGAUUGCGAAGGCAGCUUACUAUGGUCUUAUUGACGCUGAGGCACGAAAGCGUGGGGAUCAAACAGGAUUAGAUACCCUGGUAGUCCACGCCCUAAACGANANACACUCGCUGUGUCGAUACACAGUCGAGCGCGAGACGAAGUACGUUAGUCGUUCCGCCGUCGGGAGGACGCCGCGAGGAGAACGUACGAAGUAGUAGUAGACGGAGAGAGACGCGACGACGGACGACGACGGAGGGAGGAGG